AAGUGUCAGAAUUAUUCUGUAAACACCCUUAGCAGUUAUGAAACCUAAUUAUUUUCUUUUUUUUUCUCAAACAAAAAACAAAUAAAAUUUAUUAAAUUGCUCUUCGAUUAAAAUAUCGCAAAAAGAAGAAUCUAUUACAAAAGUUAUUGUAAACUGAAUUAUCUUAUGUACUUUCACUAAGUUUCGUUUAAUCAAUAGGUAAAAAUAAAGUAUAUCUGUAAUAAGGCAAGGUGAAUCACAUUCAACGUAGAUUGCUAAAAAACAAGGAUAUAGUUAGGAAUUAUAUUGAAACAAUUGAGAAAGAACAGUAAAAUAGUAAGUGACAAAGCUACAGAUGACAACCCAAUAUGAUUGAAAAACUUUUGAAAAUCUGUGACAAGAUUAUGAAAAAAUUUGUCUUUGAAAUGCAAGAAAUCACAGUAGAAAGGGUUUGAGAAUCAUCUAUUUUUCAAUGGUUUGGUAUUAUCAGUUAGUCGAGAGAAGACAUUGUGAUGGCCCAUGAAAAUGAAGAUCAUUCCUAAAUGCUAUAAUGGUGAUUUUUUUUAAGGUAAUGCUUGCAGGAAGUUAUUAAAAAAAGCCAAAAUUAUCAGGAGCAAUCGAUUUGAUAAAUAAUCUUGUUACUGAAUUAUUGAAAGCUUUAUUAGCUAUAAAAACUUCUAAAACCUUCAAACUACAUGUUCUACUAUCGCACAUCAAAAAAUGUCUGGAAUUCCUAGAUAAUUCGGAAAGGUUUUGGUUAUCGUUUGAACAAACUGUAGGUACCUAUCACCACUACCUAAUGCCUCCUUAAGUUGCUGAUAGAGGACUGGACCUUGAGAUUAACUAUGGAUACAACAAUAAGCAGUUGCGAACAACUAAUAAGAACCAGUUAAAAGCAGAAUAUAUCACCACAUUUAUGCCGUUGGCUUCGAAAUGCAAUUAAAGAAUGAUACGUACUAUAAUAUACCGGAAUCUUUAAACUUUAUCGUUUUUUUGCAAGUAUUCUGAAAAAAUAAGUUCUAACGAUUUCCGGAAUAGUAUUUUCGUAUAUGUUGAGUAAAAAUGGUGCAAAUUGUCGAAACAGAUUUUGUUGUUAGUCCAGAAGAAACUUUUUUUGCUUCCGAACCACUGUGCGCAUAUGGAGUGCAUAAGGUGCGAACAUAAUUAAUUUAAAUAUAACAGUUUUACUUAAAUAUAUGAAACCACAAUAGCUCAGUUGACAUCAAUUAUUAACAUAUUGUAUUAUGUUCAAUUUACGCUUACACAUUUGUUUAACAAGUAUUUAAAUAGUAUUUUA
Long non-coding RNA from Phymastichus coffea, 1276 nucleotides. RefSeq lists it as uncharacterized. NCBI's taxonomy places the organism in Eukaryota, Metazoa, Arthropoda, Insecta, Hymenoptera, Eulophidae. The transcript has 4 exons. The record is from RefSeq and is a predicted model, not a curated record.